Molecule: ribosomal RNA, 1241 nt
Filed under: metagenome
Description: bacterial LSU rRNA
Rfam family: Bacterial large subunit ribosomal RNA
Source: RNAcentral
UGAAUACGAGACGCUAAGGCGUCGAAGUAGUGUAUGUCAUACUUCCAAGAAAAGCUUGCACUGUCAUAGAUAAAAAACGCCUGUACCAUAACCGACACAGGUGGGUAGGUAGAGUAUACUAAGGGGCGCGAGAUAACUCUCUCUAAGGAACUCGGCAAAAUAACUCCGUAACUUCGGGAGAAGGAGUGCCUUAUUCGUAAGGUUGCAAUAACAAGAUCCAAGCAACUGUUUAUCAAAAACACAGGUCUCCGCUAAGUCGUAAGACGAUGUAUGGGGGCUGACGCCUGCCCAGUGCCAGAAGGUUAAAGAAGUUGGUUAGCAAUUGCGAAGCUGAUAACUGAAGCCCUGGUGAACGGCGGCCGUAACGAUAACGGUCCUAAGGUAGCGAAAUUCCUUGUCGGGUAAGUUCCGACCCGCACGAAAGGCGUAAUGAUUUGGAUACUGUCUCGGAGAGGGGCUCGGUGAAAUAGACUUGUCUGUGAAGAUGCGGACUACCUGCACCAGGACAGAAAGACCCUAUGAAGCUUUACUGUAACUUGAAAUUGAAAUUGGACUUUAUUCGCGCAGUAUAGGUGGGAGGCGUUGAUUAUAAUCUUGUGGGAUUAUUGGAGCCAUCAGUGAGAUACCACUCUUGUAAUGUUAGAUUUCUAACUUUGAAUCAUUAUCUGGUCAAAGAACAGUUUCAGGCGGGCAGUUUGACUGGGGCGGUCGCCUCCUAAACGGUAACGGAGGCGUACAAAGGUUUCCUCUGAACGGUUAGAAAUCGUAUCUAGAGUGUAAAGGCAUAAGGAAGCUUGACUGUGAGACCUACAAGUCGAGCAGGGACGAAAGUCGGUCUUAGUGAUCUGACGGUACUGAGUGGAAAGGCCGUCACUCAACGGAUAAAAGUUACUCUAGGAUAACAGGCUGAUCUCCCCCAAGAGUUCACAUCGACGGGGAGGUUUGGCACCUCGAUGUCGGCUCAUCGCAUCCUGGGGCGGUAGUACGUCCCAAGGGUUGGGCUGUUCGCCCAUGAAAGCGGUACGCGAGCUGGGUUCAGAACGUCGUGAGACAGUUCGGUCCAUAUCCGGUGUAGGCGUUAGAAUAUUGAGAGGAGCCUUCUUAUUACGAGAGGACCGAGAAGGACAUACCUCUGGUGUACCAGUUAUCGUGCCAACGGUAAACGCUGGGUAGCUAUGUAUGGAGUGGAUAACCGCUGAAAGCAUCUAAGUGGGAAGCCCACCUCAAGAUAAGUAUUCUCA